UAACAGCCUACCAAGGCGACGACGGGUAGCCGGCCUGAGAGGGCGACCGGCCACACUGGGACUGAGACACGGCCCAGACUCCUACGGGAGGCAGCAGUGGGGAAUAUUGCGCAAUGGGCGAAAGCCUGACGCAGCGACGCCGCGUGGGGGAUGAAGGCCUUCGGGUUGUAAACCCCUUUCGGCAGGGACGAAGCGAAAGUGACGGUACCUGCAGAAGAAGCGCCGGCUAACUACGUGCCAGCAGCCGCGGUAACACGUAGGGCGCAAGCGUUGUCCGGAAUCAUUGGGAGUAAAGAGCUGGUAGGUGGUCUGUUGCGUCCGCUGUGAAAACUUGGGGCUUAUCCCCGAGCUUGCAGUGGAUACGGGCAGACUAGAGGUAGGUAGGGGAGAAUGGAAUUCCCGGUGUAGCGGUGAAAUG
This 418-nucleotide ribosomal RNA is filed under the name uncultured Actinomycetes bacterium. RNAcentral describes it as "bacterial SSU rRNA". It matches the Rfam family "Bacterial small subunit ribosomal RNA", at positions 258 to 688 of the family's 1533-position model. The record is from RNAcentral. Lineage: Bacteria; Bacillati; Actinomycetota; Actinomycetes.